AACUUUUGGCAAUGGAUCGCUUGGCUCUCGCAUCGAUGAAGAACGCAGCGAAAUGCGAUAAGUAAUGUGAAUUGCAGAAUUCAGUGAAUCAUCGAGUCUUUGAACGCACCUUGCACCACUUGAUAUCCCAAGGGGUACACCCGUUUGAGUGUCAUUUUAAUCUCACCUCUUUGGCUUUUUGUCGAUCAGUGUGGACUUGGAUGCUGUCGUGUAACAAACGGCUCGUCUGAAAUGCCUGAGUGUACCCUGCUUUGCGGCGUAUUCGGUGUGAUAAACAUCUUCUCUGGAGUUGACUUUCGGGUCACGCUUGUACUGAUUGGCUCUAUGCUUCUAACCGUCCUGACAAGGCAAUCUUUGACAAUUUGACCUCAAAUCGGGUGGGACUACCCGCUGAACUUAAGCAUAUCAAUAAGCGGAGGCU
This 421-nucleotide unclassified non-coding RNA is filed under the name uncultured Sebacinaceae. RNAcentral describes it as "sequence contains ITS2". The stretch from base 1 to 154 matches the Rfam family "5.8S ribosomal RNA". The record is from RNAcentral. Lineage: Eukaryota; Fungi; Basidiomycota; Agaricomycetes; Sebacinales; Sebacinaceae.